RNAcentral lists this long non-coding RNA (672 nucleotides) under Capsicum annuum. RNAcentral describes it as "long non-coding RNA (CANN_LNC005528)". Lineage: Eukaryota; Viridiplantae; Streptophyta; Magnoliopsida; Solanales; Solanaceae. The record is from RNAcentral.
AAGCUAAAAAAUUAUAUUUAUAUAUUAUGUCAAUUUAGAUAUCCAAGAGUAAAGUUAAAUAUACGUACUUCUCUUUAUUUUAAUAUCUGAAAAGAAAAGAACAACGGAAAACAAAAUAGUGACUAAGAAUAUAAUAUUUGAAAUCCUAUCUAGCUAGUAACAAACUUGGGGAAGUCCUAAAUCAUCUAGUAUAAUUUACUAGAGAUUAAAAAAACUUUUGGUAACUAACGCCCUUUUUCAUCAAUUUAUCUUCGAGCUUGGCCUCUUGAUCCUUCAAUUUAUUGACUUGAUUUGAGGCAUCAAAUCUAUCUUUGAUAGUAUCAAGUCCAUGAUGUUGUUGUACUUGUUCAAGUUGUUUAAUGUAGUUUGAUCGCUCUUGUAUCUGUUCUCUCACUUGUUCCAACUUAUUCUUUAAGUUCUCGUUGUUGUUUCUUGAGGUAGACAUCCUCGCUUAGCUUUUGGAAUAUAUGUGAAACUAGAAUUGCUGCAAUAUGUAACAUAAUUAAAUAGAUUAAUUAAACAAAAAAAUAGUUUGUCCAUAUGGAAAAAAAAAAAAGACAAAGAAGAAAAACAUUAUUGCUAAGUCUUAAGCUAAAGGAAGAAAUAAGAAUCAUCACAAAGUGAAAGAAAACUCACGUUAAUUAGCCUAACUCCGUUUAUUUGGAAGAAGGC